Cryptomeria japonica (Japanese cedar) is the source of this 914-nucleotide long non-coding RNA. RefSeq lists it as uncharacterized. The record is from RefSeq and is a predicted model, not a curated record. NCBI's taxonomy places the organism in Eukaryota, Viridiplantae, Streptophyta, Pinopsida, Cupressales, Cupressaceae. The transcript has 3 exons.
AUCACUAGAACUGCCAUGCAACUUUUCCAUCUUCUCCAACAAAAACAAAUUUGUAUAACCAAUCUGCUAUAGAUAACCAUUUAUAAUUUCAAUGGCAUUCUCAAGGCCAAGCUAUAAUGGUUUACCAGAACUGCUGUAACGGUAGGUCAAAACAAGAGUCAGGAUACUCUGUACAGGAUCUCAUAUUAGUUAUAGAUUACAGGACAAACAAGCGGGAUUUAUUUCUAGUGGGUUGUAUUUAGUAUCUUCAAACUGGCAUUUAACUAGACAUUCCCACAUACGGAACUCUCUCUAUAUAGCGUAAUGCUUGUUUAUGCCAUAAACAGUAGAUUUGUACCCAGUAAAACAAAAUUAUGCAAUAAGAAUUGUGGAGCCUAUAUACUGGAUCCCAGAUGGGGGAGGCUGUGAACUAUAAUAACACAUGGACAUUACUGAUUACAGGAUCCAUAUUUAUUAUGUUGUAUAUGGUUUUCUCGAUGAGAAUUCCCUAUGGUUAUUACUUAGCUACAGAGAAGAUUACUGAUACAGGAGAGGUUGCAAAAAAAGGAGCAAUUUUUAGUGCCUGUUGUAACUGGCUACUUGGGAAUAAACAAUCAAUUGAUGGAGUACAUGUCUGCUGCUGUCAUUGCUAGAGCUACAGGAAAGACACUCUGCCUUCCACUAUUAUUCAGAGGCCCUUUAAAACAUCAAGGAAGACUUUUCAGAAGACACAAUGAAUGAGGUCACAAUUCCUCUAGAGCAUAGGAGCUCUCUAAGUUUGUGAGAGUAUCUUCGAUGACCCGAUGUACCAAUGCCUGUGGAAAUAAGGUGGACAUCUUUUAGAAACUGAGAGCUGAAAACAAAAAUUAACUGCGAGUCAUCUUCCACCUAUGCAUCUUGUCACUUUUGUCAGAAAACUGUAAACUUUGGUCUAU